This 255-nucleotide ribosomal RNA is filed under the name uncultured bacterium. RNAcentral describes it as "partial 16S ribosomal RNA". It matches the Rfam family "Bacterial small subunit ribosomal RNA", at positions 524 to 777 of the family's 1533-position model. The record is from RNAcentral.
UACGAAGGGGGCUAGCGUUGCUCGGAAUCACUGGGCGUAAAGCGCACGUAGGCGGAUUGUUAAGUCAGGGGUGAAAUCCCGAGGCUCAACCUCGGAACUGCCUUCGAUACUGCGGGUCUCGAGUCCGGGAGAGGUGGAGUGGAAUUCCUAGUGUAGAGGUGAAAUUCGUAGAUAUUGGAAGAACACCAGUGGCGAAGGCGACUCACUGGACCAGCGUAUGACGCUGAGGUGCGAAAGCGUGGGGAGCAAACAGGG